This 286-nucleotide long non-coding RNA is filed under the name Mytilus galloprovincialis (Mediterranean mussel). The record is from RNAcentral. Lineage: Eukaryota; Metazoa; Mollusca; Bivalvia; Mytilida; Mytilidae.
UAGAUGAUUAUUUAUAGACUACAGCGAUAUAGGGGAUUUUCCCCAAGUGUUCCACGGCACAAGAUCAAUGGAUAGCAUUAUGCGUGGAAUAUUAGGUAACUUUUUAUUCUUCUCAUGUUAUAAAUGUAUAUCAAUUCUUGAUUAAUGUACACUGUCAAAUAUUAUGAUGCUAUUACUCAGAACAUUUAGUAUACAAUAGAUGAGUUCUACAAGAAAGGUGGACUGGGAUGAAGGGGUGGAUUUUGACUGCCACUGGAAAUUGAGUGUAAAUUGGAAGACAUGUAAC